Molecule: non-coding RNA, 21 nt
Filed under: Caenorhabditis elegans
Lineage: Eukaryota; Metazoa; Nematoda; Chromadorea; Rhabditida; Rhabditidae
Source: RNAcentral
UUUGGUCAAGUUUACCUCGUG